This 1806-nucleotide long non-coding RNA is filed under the name Aquila chrysaetos chrysaetos. RNAcentral's name for it is "lncRNA (ENSACCG00020005018.1)". Lineage: Eukaryota; Metazoa; Chordata; Aves; Accipitriformes; Accipitridae. The record is from RNAcentral.
AGUACAAGUACAUCUUCAAUGAGUACAGAAAUAUGUAGUGCUGUAGUACAACAGAAAAGGAUGCUGAGUCUCACUGAAAGACUGCAUGGAACAGAACAUCUCUUUGCUGUUCCUUUGGCUUCCACAGGGCGACACUGGACUUCCUGGGCCACCAGGGUCACCACUGUUAGUUGGACCUCCUGGAGCCCAGCUGUUCAAAGGAGAAAAGGGCCAAAAAGGACUACCUGGGGUAACAGGAUACAGAGGGCCACGUGGACCCAAAGUAAGUAAUGUGAUUAUUAGGUUUUUUUUUUCAUGGUGCUGGCAAAGUACUUCUGUGUUUAUUAAGUUAAUCUUUUAAAGCACAAGGUGAUGGAAGAAAUAAUGGCAUUUGUGCUGUGAAAUUUAAUCACCACCUAAAUCAGUGUGAAAGCAAAAAUAUUUAAAAACUCUUUGGAAAACCUUUCUGUUUUAUAUGUACCUGUUAAAUGUUGCCUGGUAGCAAAAAGUCAGUGUUGUUUCUAGUUGGGCUGUUGACAUAACAGACUGGGACUGCGAAGAAAAUAGAAGCACGGAUUAUUUUUUCUCAGGAAGAGAAAUAGAGAAGAUCUCUAUGUGUUCUUAAUGGGGCAUGAUAUAUGUUUCCCUAAGUAUGCUAGGGAAAGACUUCACAUUAUGAAUAUCCUCAAGAGUAGAGAAGGCAGAGCCACCUAUUUGGAGAAAGAGUUGCUCUUUCCUAUCUAUUCUACAUUUUCUUUUCUUUCUGUCAGCAUGAUUAAUUUAAACAUUGGUGUAAAGUAAAGGGUUCCUGGAUGCUGAGCAGAAGCAGCCACAAAAAAGAUUCUGGAGUCUUUAUUGCUGAUAGAUUUGGAGAAGAAAAAUCCACAGGCAGGAAACUACCAGAUCUCAGAAAAACAGAAGAUAAUUGGGACAGAAGAACGAGUCUAGUAUAUGUUAAAAACUUACUUAGCUUUGUAGGCAGAAGAGAAGAAAUGAGAAGCCUGAACAUCACAUUUCUGAGUUCUAAGUCUAGCACUUUUUCAGAAAUUCGUUUUCCAUCAUAAAAGGACCACUGGUAAUUAGUGCUGGAAAAGGAGACAAAACCAAUCUUUUUAUAUCUGAUUUAAUUUGAAAAAUAUGGGGUUUAUAUGCUUGCUUCAGUACUAGCUGUCCAUGUAGAUAACAGUACCCUUGUUAGUUAUAAGCAGGAACUGAGAAAUUGACUGAUGCAGCCCAGAAGGUGCCCAGAGAUUUUAAAACAAUUUAAAAAAAUUAAACUGCUGAAAGCACAUUAAACUUGGACAAGAGACCAUAGCAGGUUCUUUGAAUAACUGAAGCUACAUAGGCACUGCUAGUGGUGCUGUAGGAAGUAAGCCCCAGUGACUGAGCCUAGCAAGUGAAACAAGAUCCAUCAACCUAAUAUAUACAUAACUUAAUAAACAUGCACAAAAAUUAAAAUUUAUGGCACACUUGACUGAGCAUCUUGUUUAAACAAAAGUAUUUUGAAUGCUCCAGGGUGUACUUGGGAGAGGAGAAAAGGGUGAAAAAGGCAUUCCUGGAUUCCCUGGAUUGCAGGUAAGGAAGUUGCAGAAUAAAUUACUUCACAAAUUCACUAUAAUUAGGUUCAUAAUAUAUUUGGCAGUUUAAGUUUGCAUUUCCAAGGAAGAUUUUAAUGAUUUUUAAAACUAAUCUGUCAUACUUUCUGUAUAUAAUAUUUAGAAGUCCUGCCCUGGGACUCAUCUCACCUGGGUCUCAGACUUAAACAUAAGCUUAUACAGAGUUUGUGUCCUUGGAAAGAAAGUAAAUCUGUAGGGUUAUCCUCUAAAU